GAAAUGCGAUAAGUAAUGUGAAUUGCAGAAUUCAGUGAAUCAUCGAAUCUUUGAACGCACAUUGCGCCCGCCAGUACUCUGGCGGGCAUGCCUGUCCGAGCGUCAUUUCAACCCUCGAGCCCGUCUCGGUGUUGGGGGCCCCACGGCCGCGAGGCCGCCCCCGAAAUGCAUUGGCGACCCCGCCGCGGCCUCCCCUGCGCAGUAGCUCCCAGAGAACCUCGCACCGGAAACGCGGAGGCGGUCACGCCGUAAAACAACUCUCCUCCUGGAAGUUGACCUCGGAUCAGGUAGGGAUACCCGCUGAACUUAA
This 310-nucleotide unclassified non-coding RNA is filed under the name plant metagenome. RNAcentral's name for it is "partial contains 5.8S ribosomal RNA, internal transcribed spacer 2, and large subunit ribosomal RNA". The stretch from base 1 to 105 matches the Rfam family "5.8S ribosomal RNA", at positions 50 to 154 of the family's 154-position model. The record is from RNAcentral. RNAcentral also lists the same sequence under 1 other name.